This 485-nucleotide ribosomal RNA is filed under the name uncultured bacterium. RNAcentral's name for it is "bacterial SSU rRNA". It matches the Rfam family "Bacterial small subunit ribosomal RNA", at positions 36 to 518 of the family's 1533-position model. The record is from RNAcentral.
CUGGCGGCGUGCCUAACACAUGCAAGUCGAGCGGAGAUGAUGUGAGGAAGUUUUCGGAUGGAAUCACAUUAUUUUAGCGGCGGACGGGUGAGUAACGCGUGAGCGACCAACCUUGCACAGGGGGAUAACGGACCGAAAGGUUCACUAAUACCGCAUGAGACCACAGUGUUGCAUGACACAGGGGUCAAAGGAGCAAUCCGGUGCAAGACGGGCUCGCGUCCGAUUAGGUAGUUGGUGGGGUAACGGCCCACCAAGCCUAUGAUCGGUAGCCGACCUGAGAGGGUGAUCGGCCACAUUGGAACUGAGAUACGGUCCAAACUCCUACGGGAGGCAGCAGUGGGGAAUAUUGGGCAAUGGGGGAAACCCUGACCCAGCAACGCCACGUGAAGGAAGAAGGUUUUCGGAUUGUAAACUUCUGUCCUUGGUGAAGAGAAGAAGACGGUAGCCAAGGAGGAAGCCCCGGCUAACUACGUGCCAGCAGCGGC